Molecule: ribosomal RNA, 601 nt
Filed under: uncultured bacterium
Lineage: Bacteria
Description: bacterial SSU rRNA
Rfam family: Bacterial small subunit ribosomal RNA
Source: RNAcentral
GAAUGAAACUCAAAGGAAUUGACGGGGGCCCGCACAAGCGGUGGAGCAUGUGGUUUAAUUCGAUGAUACGCGAGGAACCUUACCAGGGCUUAAAUGUAGUCUGACAGGUCUGGAAACAGACUUUUCUUCGGACAGAUUACAAGGUGCUGCAUGGUUGUCGUCAGCUCGUGCCGUGAGGUGUCAGGUUAAGUCCUAUAACGAGCGCAACCCCUGUGGUUAGUUGCCAGCGAGUAAUGUCGGGAACUCUAGCCAGACUGCCGGUGCAAACCGCGAGGAAGGUGGGGAUGACGUCAAAUCAUCACGGCCCUUACGUCCUGGGCCACACACGUGCUACAAUGGUAGGGACAGAGAGCAGCCACUUCGCGAGAAGGAGCGAAUCUACAAACCCUAUCACAGUUCGGAUCGCAGUCUGCAACUCGACUGCGUGAAGCUGGAAUCGCUAGUAAUCGCAUAUCAGCCAUGAUGCGGUGAAUACGUUCCCGGGCCUUGUACACACCGCCCGUCAAGCCAUGGAAGCCGGGGGUACCUGAAGUCGGUCACCGCAAGGAGCCGCCUAGGGUAAAACUGGUAACUGGGGCUAAGUCGUAACAAGGUAACCGUA